UACGUAGGGUGCGAGCGUUAAUCGGAACUACUGGGCGUAAAGUGUGCGCAGGCGGCCGCGCAAGUCGAGUGUGAAAGCCCCGGGCUUAACUUGGGAAUUGCGCUCGAAACUACGUGGCUGGAGUGUGGCAGAGGAAGGUGGAAUUCCACGUGUAGCGGUGAAAUGCGUAGAGAUGUGGAGGAACACCAAUGGCGAAGGCAGCCUUCUGGGCCAACACUGACGCUCAUGCACGAAAGCGUGGGGAGCAAACAGG
This 253-nucleotide ribosomal RNA is filed under the name uncultured bacterium. RNAcentral describes it as "partial 16S ribosomal RNA". It matches the Rfam family "Bacterial small subunit ribosomal RNA", at positions 524 to 776 of the family's 1533-position model. The record is from RNAcentral.